This 37-nucleotide small nucleolar RNA is filed under the name Meriones unguiculatus (Mongolian gerbil). The record is from RNAcentral. Lineage: Eukaryota; Metazoa; Chordata; Mammalia; Rodentia; Muridae.
CCAGUAGAGCUUGUCUCUAUGCCUGGAGUUUGGUAGU